UAGCUCAAUAAAAGACUGACGAG
This 23-nucleotide non-coding RNA is filed under the name Arabidopsis thaliana (thale cress). Lineage: Eukaryota; Viridiplantae; Streptophyta; Magnoliopsida; Brassicales; Brassicaceae. The record is from RNAcentral.